Molecule: RNA transcript, 1494 nt
Organism: Triticum dicoccoides
Lineage: Eukaryota; Viridiplantae; Streptophyta; Magnoliopsida; Poales; Poaceae
Exons: 5
Source: RefSeq, a predicted model, not a curated record
CUCCGACGCUUGGCCUCGCCCCUAGCACCCGGGCGACGAUUCUCUUGCUUCUCUGAGAACUUGCUUUCCCAAUUUGAGUUUAGGCGUCGAAUCAGAUCGAUGGAUCUCAUGGAUUCAGAAAGCCAAGCCAUGGAUUCGGCGUCGCUGCUGCCACCAGAUGGAAGAUGGUUAGCCUGGAUGAGCCGCCACAAUUCCUCGCCAGUGCACCCGCUGGACGACGAGGACCUCCUGCAGGAGAUUCUCCUCCGCCUCCCUCCGCAGCCAUCAUCUCUCCCCCGCGCUUCCCUCGUCUGCCCGCGCUGGCAUCGCAUCCUCUCCGACCCCAAGUUCAUCAAAAGUUUCCGUAGACACCAUCGGAAACCCCCGGUUCUCGGUUUCUUCUUCACUGAAUUGGACAAUACUUUCUCGGUUGCCGCCAUGGCCUCGCCAUCCUAUCGAACUUGCACCUGCGUGAGAUCAUCGUGUGGGAUCCCCUCAGUGGUCAACAACACCGCGUGACUUUUCCAGCGGGGCUUGACCACAACAAAGUGACGUACUAGCAUGCCGAAGUGUUGUGCGCUGAUGCCGAAUAUGGGCAUGUGCACGGCGAUUGCUUCUCGAGCCCGUUCAAAUUGGUCGCAAUCUGGGUCGUCAGAUGCACGCAGGCAUUUGCUUGCCUCUAUGAAUCAGCCACCGGUGUAUGGGGAGACACUCUCCUCACGAAGGUUACAAAACAGAUUUACAAUUAUAGCAUGAGGCCUGGCGUUCUUAUUGGGAAUACACUUUGUUGGUUGCUUUCUGGCGGUGACAUUCUGGCAUUUUGUCUUGAAAGCCAGAGCCUUCGUGUGAUGAACAAGCCGUUGGAAAUCAAGUACACCUCGGGAUCUAUUCAGCUCUUAAGAACAAAGGAUUGUGGUAUUGGCCUCGCAUAUUUGUUAGAAAUGACCAUUCAAUUAUGGGAGAGGAAAUCAAAUUAUGAUGGCAUCGUCGGCUGGGUGCUUCCGCAAAAAACUAUUCAACUGCAGGAGGUCUUUCCAGAAGGAAUGUUUAGUGAGAGGAAAAGGGUGCACAUAACAGGGUAUUCUGAGGAAAAAAAUGUGAUUGUUCUGUCUGUGUUGAGAGAUGACUUCAUGCUGCAAGUUGACACGAUGGAGAUCAAACAUAUUCAGCAAAGAAAAGGAGAUGGAUUUACCUUUCCGUACACAAAUUUCUAUGCUGCAGGUAUGCAAGUUGCUGGUGGAGAGAUAGGCGAUGAAACUUUGGACGUAGUGGAGGAACUAAUGCGCUAUCUCGGUGUCCCUGCUCAUCUUGAUGUUGAUGAGUUUUGAAGCAUUGCUGGUGGACAAGGUGAAGCUCAAAAUGAGGACAUAGUCCAUUCUUGCGCUCUCUAUUGAGUCGACUCUGAACUUGAUCCUUCUUGUAACAUGUUGGUUGUUUCGUCUUGGAUGGUGUUGCUUGUGAAGUGGGCUUGUCGUCCAGUGUAUCAUGGAGUUGCUUCGGUUAAUAUGCUUGGAU